This is a long non-coding RNA of Phyllostomus discolor (pale spear-nosed bat), 143 nucleotides long. RefSeq lists it as uncharacterized. The record is from RefSeq and is a predicted model, not a curated record. The transcript is spliced from 3 exons. NCBI's taxonomy places the organism in Eukaryota, Metazoa, Chordata, Mammalia, Chiroptera, Phyllostomidae.
CCCCUCCAAAAUGCCCACCUACGCGGGAGGAAACCAAUCAUCCACUCUCUACACUUAGAGUUGAGGGUACCACUAGGUAAGCAUUCAUUCACCUACUCAACAAAUACCGACGACCCUUGAACGACGGCUGUAGAACUCUGCAC